This 636-nucleotide ribosomal RNA is filed under the name uncultured bacterium. Its description in RNAcentral is "bacterial SSU rRNA". It matches the Rfam family "Bacterial small subunit ribosomal RNA", at positions 11 to 645 of the family's 1533-position model. The record is from RNAcentral.
GUUUGAUCAUGGCUCAGGAUGAACGCUGGCGGCGUGCUUAACACAUGCAAGUCGAACGAAGCACUUUAUUUGAUUUCCUUCGGGACUGAUUAUUUUGUGACUGAGUGGCGGACGGGUGAGUAACGCGUGGGUAACCUGCCUUGUACAGGGGGAUAACAGUUGGAAACGGCUGCUAAUACCGCAUAAGCGCACGGCAUCGCAUGAUGCAGUGUGAAAAACUCCGGUGGUAUAAGAUGGACCCGCGUUGGAUUAGCUAGUUGGUGAGGUAACGGCCCACCAAGGCGACGAUCCAUAGCCGACCUGAGAGGGUGACCGGCCACAUUGGGACUGAGACACGGCCCAAACUCCUACGGGAGGCAGCAGUGGGGAAUAUUGCACAAUGGGCGAAAGCCUGAUGCAGCGACGCCGCGUGAGCGAAGAAGUAUUUCGGUAUGUAAAGCUCUAUCAGCAGGGAAGAUAAUGACGGUACCUGACUAAGAAGCACCGGCUAAAUACGUGCCAGCAGCCGCGGUAAUACGUAUGGUGCAAGCGUUAUCCGGAUUUACUGAGUGUAAAGGGAGCGCAGGCGGUGCGGCAAGUCUGAUGUGAAAGCCCGGGGCUCAACCCCGGUACUGCAUUGGAAACUGUCGUACUAGA